UCUAAAGUAGUGCACUACGGAGGGAGUAGGGUUCCAUAGGGCUCUGGUCUAAAGUAGUGCACUACGGAGGGACUAGGGUGCCAUUUGGGACGUAGAUUCAUUAUUUUGGUUUAAGAUCCCAACAUCCUCUGAAAGAGUUUUAAUCGUGGGAACAAUCCCCCUGCAAGCCAUGGUUAUAUUAUACAUAUUAUAUUCCUCUAAAUGAUUUUAUUAUAUUAGGAAUAAAAGAUUAGCUCAGUUCUCUACAUGAGCAUGCUACUGUGUGCUCUCUACCGGUGGGGUGGUGGGUGACUACACAGGGAAAGGGUUGGUUGUGAAUAGGUUUGAAAAUGUUUCUAAAUUUCUAGGUUUUCCAAAAAUCCCGGUUUGGAGAUUUCCAUAUUGAGAGAACAAGCAGAACAUCCAGGAAUCCUUCUUCCAGGUUUCCUGGAAAACCUGGGAAUUGUAGAAAAUGACUGUAAUUUUGCAACCCUAGUCGGGAGGUUGUUGGUUUAUUUACCAGUUGGAAGACGGACGAUGACAUCAGUUUUUUUUUUUACUACUAUUAUAGACUACUAUAGCUGUUGGAAGAGGUUAUAAGCUAUAGCUUUUGUAAAAGGUUAUAAGCUCUAGCUGUUGGAAGAGGUUAUAAGCUCUAGUUGUUGGAAGAGAUUAUAAGCUCUAUCUGUUGGAAGAGGUUAUAAGCUCUAGCUGUUGGAAGAGGUUAUACGCUCUAUCUGUUGGAAGAGGUUAUAAGCUCUAUCUGUUGGAAGAGGUUAUAAGCUCUAGUUGUUGGAAGAGGUUAUAAGCUCUAUCUGUUGGAAGAGGUUAUAAGCUCUAGCUGUUGGAAGAGGUUAUAAGCUCUAUCUGUUGGAAGAGGUUAUACGCUCUAUCUGUUGGAAGAGGUUAUAAGCUCUAUCUGUUGGAAGAGGUUAUAAGCUCCUUCUGUUGGAAGAGGUUAUAAGCUCUAGCUGUUGGAAGAGGUUAUAAGCUCUAGCUGUUGGAAGAGGUUAUAAGCUCUAGCUGUUGGAAGAGGUUAUACGCUCUAUCUGUUGGAAGAGGUUAUAUGCUCUAUCUGUUGGAAGAGGUUAUAAGCUCUAGCUGUUGGAAGAGGUUAUAAGCUCUAGCUGUUGGAAGAGGUUAUAAGCUCUAGCUGUUGGAAGAGGUUAUAAGCUCUAGCUCAUCACAUACACCAGUAUACAGUAUAUGACCAGGAGGGUUUCUAAAGCCUAAUUCAUACCGUACACAAAAACACAACGCAAGAACACAAUUAGUUACUCAAAAUCGCCAUCCUACAUAGUUACGUCGAGUUACAAACUCCGGAGCUGCGCAUAUUUGCGUAUUUUUGCUAUGCAAGUACACAGAACAGCCAUUUUGCAAAUAUGAUGGCAUUAUUGUGUACGGUCCACAUCAGGCUCAACAUAGAGACUUGUGACUGGCCCGAAGGAAGAAGAACAGGUAGCAUGCUAGCAGAUACCCAUAGACUUCCAGUCAUUGCGCUAACACUUGUUAGCAUUGGCUCACGAAACUACCUCUUAACUUCCUUCACACUGGACACAGAGACAUUAAAAUGCUAUCCAUGAGUUCAUCUGACUCUGGGGAAGUAGAUGAAGGGCCUCAUUGCCAAAAUCCCCAAGUAUCCCUUUAAUAAUAAUAUAUAAAUCAAAACAGACAUGGUAAUGACAAGAAAACGAAUUGGCUGAAAUAGCACCCUGUUCCCUAUAAAGUGCACUACCGCUACUUUAGUGCUCUAUUGUGGUCCAAAAUAGUGGGUUAUAUAGUGGAACAGGGUGCCAUUCAGGGACGAAUGAAUUGUUUCUUAACUGGUCUUCAGACGAGGUGGUUUUUCUUACUUUGCAAUAUAUCAACAAAUAACUUUUGGAAUGUGUUUUCAACAUCUAUCAUGUCCUAUUGCUCAUCUGUUCAAGACCUCUCCUUUAUGGCUCUAUGUUUUCAGAGAACAAUUCUGGACAUCAAUACAGAAUACAGCUAUAUAAUUACAGUCAUCAAUACAGAAUACAGCUAUAUAAUUACAGUCAUCAAUACAGAAUACAGCUAUAUAAUUCUAGACAUCAAUACAGAAUACAGCUAUAUAAUUCUAGACAUCAAUACAGAAUACAGCUAUAGAAUUCUAGACAUCAAUACAGAAUACAGCUAAAGAAUUCUAGUCAUUAAUACAGAAUACAGCUAUAGAAUUCUAGUCAUCAAUACAGAAUACAGCUAUAGAAUUCUAGACAUCAAUACAGAAUACAGCUAUAGAAUUCUAGACAUCAAUACAGAAUACAGCUAUAGAAUUCUGGACAUUAAUACAGAAUACAGCUAUAGAAUUCUGGACAUUAAUACAGAAUACAGCUAUAGAAUUCUAGACAUCAAUACAGAAUACAGCUAUAGAAUUCUAGACAUCAAUACAGAAUACAGCUAUAGAAUUCUAGACAUCAAUACAGAAUACAGCUAUAGAAUUCUGGACAUUAAUACAGAAUACAGCUAUAGAAUUCUGGACAUUAAUACAGAAUACAGCUAUAGAAUUCUGGACAUUAAUACAGAAUACAGCUAUAGAAUUCUGGACAUUAAUACAGAAUACAGCUGUAGAAUUCUGGACAUUAAUACAGAAUACAGCUGUAGAAUUCUGGACAUUAAUACAGAAUACAGCUACAGAAUUCUGGACAUUAAUACAGAAUACAGCUAUAGAAUUCUGAAUAUUAAUACAGAAUACAGCUAUAGAAUUCUGGACAUUAAUACAGAAUACAGCUAUAGAAUUCUGAAUAUUAAUACAGAAUACAGCUAUAGAAUUCUGGACAUUAAUACAGAAUACAGCUAUAGAAUUCUAGUCAUUAAUACAGAAUACAGCUAUAGAAUUCUAGUCAUUAAUACAGAAUACAGCUAUAGAAUUACAGUCAACAAUACAGAAUACAGCUAUAGAAUGCUGGACAUCAAUACGGAAUACAGCUAUAGAAUUCUGGACAUUAAUGCAGAAUACAGCUAUAGAAUUCUAUACAUUAAUACAGAAUACAGCUAUAGAAUUCUGGACAUUAAUACAGAAUACAGUAUAGAAUUCUGGAUAUUAAAACAGAAUACAGCUAUAGAAUUCUGUACAUCAAUACAGAAUACAGCUAUAGAAUUCUAGACAUCAAUACAGAAUACAGCUAUAGAAUUCUAGACAUCAAUACAGAAUACAGCUAUAGAAUUCUAGACAUCAAUACAGAAUACAGCUAUAGAAUUCUAGACAUCAAUACAGAAUACAGCUAUAGAAUUCUAGACAUCAAUACAGAAUACAGCUAUAGAAUUCUAGACAUCAAUACAGAAUACAGCUAUAGAAUUCUAGACAUCAAUACAGAAUACAGCUAUAGAAUUCUAGACAUCAAUACAGAAUACAGCUAUAGAAUUCUAGACAUCAAUACAGAAUACAGCUAAAGAAUUCUAGUCAUUAAUACAGAAUACAGCUAUAGAAUUCUAGUCAUGAAUACAGAAUACAGCUAUAGCUCUGAGUGCUCUGCUUAUUUGUUAGGUUAAGUUUCCCCUAAAUACUGAUAUUGGGCAGUUUUGCUAGCCUGGAUCCCACAUCUCUGUGUUAUCUUGCCGAUGUAACAGAGUGAGCUUCCUAUCCUAACUCCCAGCAGUGUGAGGAAGGAAGCUAUACUGUUAAACAAGCCCCGUGAAACCUGUUACACCUACUCUCCAAUUGCUAACUCUCAUUGUCAAGCCAUUUGUGUGGGAUGGCAAUUCCAUAACGAGUUGGCAAGAGAGCACAAACACACUGGCACCCAGGCUAAUACUUAGUAUAUCACCUAGCCUGGGCACCAGUCUGAUUGUGCUAACAUUCCCACCCCUUGUAGUGUGUUGUCAUAUGUUUGGCUGUGGCGAGGAGUGGUAAUGAUGGCACAAACUGAUCUGGGACCAGACUUACCAAAACACUUUAGAAGUGGGGGACAACCUGCACCUAUAUUUUCAGCAUGUUUCUGUUCUGAAUCAGUCACAGAUCACUACUCCCUUACAUUGAAAUGUCUUCAAGGUUUUUGGUUUUGUAUAGUGUGCUCUGUGCUAUCGGUCUAGUCAUGUUGGCUUUUCUCAAUAUAUUAAGCUGAUAUGCAAAGUUGUUUCUCCUUUCUCUUUUUUUUUAGAUAAUGGUGGGGUAUUUUACAUCCUUGAAAGGACUUUCAUAGUAAGGAGUUUGAACCCAGUCACAACGAUAAGGAAAUAUGAGGCUCCAGUCAGAAGGAGUGUAAUAUAUAGGGAAUAGGGGAAGAUUUGGGACGCACAAUUACGUUACACACUUAGGGUUGAAAUGUAUUUAAAUACAGAGCUUUUUUUAUUUGUAUUUUACGAAGAGAAAAUCUUUGAUUUCAAGCUGCUUCAUGUGUUUGUGUCUUUUGUAACGAUGAAAGAUAAACCUUGCGUUUUUCUCCGUUUGUAUAUUUGACGGAACACAGGAACAAUGGAACUGAGGGUGCGUCCAAAAUAGCAACCUAUUCCCUAUGUAGUGCCCUACUUAUGACAGGCUCUGGUCUAAUGUAGGGCACUAAUAUAGGGAAUAGGGUGCCGUUUGGGACACAAAGGAAAAGUUACCGAUCAUCAUCUUUACCUCACUGAGGGAAUUUUCAGGGAUUGUUUUGACAAUGCAUCUUCAUACCCGUUCAAUACCUGUUCAAUACCCGUUCAAUACUCGUUCAAUACCUGUUCAAUACCCGUUCAAUACUCGUUCAAUACCUGUUUAACGUGUGGAUACAUUUAGAACACGAUGCCAUUUAUAAACGAUGUGUAGAAAACUGUCAACAGGGCAGUUGAUACUUCCUGAUGUUAAAGGACGUUGACCAUAUGUAUUGUAAACAUGUUUAUACGACAAAUAAAUAUUGAAUAAUAAUUUUC
Salvelinus namaycush (lake trout) is the source of this 4842-nucleotide long non-coding RNA. RefSeq lists it as uncharacterized. Lineage: Eukaryota; Metazoa; Chordata; Actinopteri; Salmoniformes; Salmonidae. The transcript is spliced from 2 exons. The record is from RefSeq and is a predicted model, not a curated record.